RNAcentral lists this ribosomal RNA (300 nucleotides) under uncultured Pyrobaculum sp. RNAcentral describes it as "bacterial SSU rRNA". It matches the Rfam family "Bacterial small subunit ribosomal RNA", at positions 496 to 795 of the family's 1533-position model. The record is from RNAcentral. Lineage: Archaea; Thermoproteati; Thermoproteota; Thermoprotei; Thermoproteales; Thermoproteaceae.
CGUAACUCGGUGCCAGGAGCGUAGGUAAUACGUAGGGCGCAAGCGUUGUCCGGAAUUAGUGUGCGGAUAUAGCUCGUAGGCGGUCUGGCACGUCGGCUGGGAAAGCCCCGGGCUUAACCCCGGGCGUGCGGUGGAUACAGGCAGACUAGAGGCAUGUAGGGGAGAAUGGAAGUCCCGGUGUAGCGGUGAAAUGCGCAGAUAUCGGGAGGAACACCGGUGGCGAAGGCGGUUCUCUGGGCCUGACCUGACGCUGAGGAGCGAAAGCGUGGGGAGCGAACAGGAUUAGAUACUCUUGUAGUC